CCUACGGGAGGCAGCAGUGGGGAAUAUUGGACAAUGGGGGGAACCCUGAUCCAGCCAUGCCGCGUGUGUGAAGAAGGCCUUUUGGUUGUAAAGCACUUUAAGCGAGGAGGAGGCUUACCUGGUUAAUACCUGGGAUAAGUGGACGUUACUCGCAGAAUAAGCACCGGCUAACUCUGUGCCAGCAGCCGCGGUAAU
This 195-nucleotide ribosomal RNA is filed under the name uncultured Acinetobacter sp. RNAcentral's name for it is "partial 16S ribosomal RNA". It matches the Rfam family "Bacterial small subunit ribosomal RNA", at positions 338 to 524 of the family's 1533-position model. Lineage: Bacteria; Pseudomonadati; Pseudomonadota; Gammaproteobacteria; Moraxellales; Moraxellaceae. The record is from RNAcentral.